This 343-nucleotide ribosomal RNA is filed under the name uncultured bacterium. RNAcentral describes it as "bacterial SSU rRNA". It matches the Rfam family "Bacterial small subunit ribosomal RNA", at positions 28 to 358 of the family's 1533-position model. The record is from RNAcentral.
GAUGAACGCUAGCUACAGGCUUAACACAUGCAAGUCGAGGGGAAACGACAUCGAAAGCUUGCUUUUGAUGGGCGUCGACCGGCGCACGGGUGAGUAACGCGUAUCCAACCUGCCCACCACUUGGGGAUAACCUUGCGAAAGUAAGACUAAUACCCAAUGACGUCUCUAGAAGACAUCUGAAAGAGAUUAAAGAUUUAUCGGUGAUGGAUGGGGAUGCGUCUGAUUAGCUUGUUGGCGGGGUAAGGCCCACCAAGGCGACGAUCAGUAGGGGUUCUGAGAGGAAGGUCCCCCCAACAUUGGAACUGAGACACGGUCCAAAACUCCUACGGGAGGCAGCAGUUGA